This 217-nucleotide ribosomal RNA is filed under the name uncultured bacterium. Its description in RNAcentral is "partial 16S ribosomal RNA". It matches the Rfam family "Bacterial small subunit ribosomal RNA", at positions 590 to 793 of the family's 1533-position model. The record is from RNAcentral.
AGAUGUGAAAGACCCGGGGCGUCAACCUCGGAAUUGCAUUUGUAAACUAGGCAGACUAGAGUACUGUAGAGGGGGGUAGGAAGUUUCUAGGUGUAGCGGUGAAAUAGCGUAGAGAUCUGAAGGAAUACCGGUGGCGAAGGCGGCCCCCUCGGACAGAUACUGACACUCAGAUGCGAAAGCGUGGGGGACGCAAAACAGGAUUAGAUACCCCUGGUAG